This 200-nucleotide ribosomal RNA is filed under the name uncultured bacterium. Its description in RNAcentral is "partial 16S ribosomal RNA". It matches the Rfam family "Bacterial small subunit ribosomal RNA", at positions 326 to 539 of the family's 1533-position model. The record is from RNAcentral.
ACGCUCGACACCUACGGGAUGCAGCAGUUGGGAAUAUUGGACAAUGGAGGAAACUCUGAUCCAGUGACGCCGCGUGAAGGAAGAAGGUCUUCGGAUUGUAAACUUAUUUUGUCAGGGAAGAAAAAAUGACUGUACCUGAAGAAAAAGCACCGGCUAACUACGUGCCAGAAGCCGCGGUAAUCUGAGCGGGCUGGCAAGGC